UGACAAUGGGUAGCAGGUGCCGGGGGAAGACGUAGGUCGUAAGUGUUGUUCGGAUGUAGGUGGCGUAAAGUGUGCGUAGGCGGCGCGGGAAGUCGGGUGUGAAAUGUCGUGGCUUAACUCCGAAACUGCAUUCGUUACUGCCGUGCUUGGGGACUGGAGAGGAGACUGGAAUUUACGGUGUAGCGGUGAAAUGCGUAGAUAUCGUAAGGAAGACCAGUGGCGAAGGCGGGUCUCUGGACAGUUCCUGACGCUGAGGCACGAAGGUCAGGGGAGCAAACGGGAUUAGAUACCCCAGUAGUC
Molecule: ribosomal RNA, 300 nt
Filed under: uncultured Pseudoxanthomonas sp.
Lineage: Bacteria; Pseudomonadati; Pseudomonadota; Gammaproteobacteria; Lysobacterales; Lysobacteraceae
Description: bacterial SSU rRNA
Rfam family: Bacterial small subunit ribosomal RNA
Source: RNAcentral